ACUGUUGGUGGAGUUCACAGCACAUCAGAUUCACCAUAAACCAUGUUCUCUGUAGCUCUGCUGCUGCUGUUGGUAGCUGGAUCCUCAGGUGUGAAGUGUGAACAGCUGACACAGCCAGCCUCUGUGACUGUGCAGCCAGGUCAACGUCUGACCAUCACCUGUCAGGUCUCUUAUUCUGUGGGCAGCUACUACACAGCCUGGAUCAGACAACCUGCAGGGAAAGGACUGGAGUGGAUUGGAAGCAGACGACAUGGAGGGGACACAUACUACAAAGAUUCACUGAAGAACAAGUUCAGUAUCGACUUAGACUCUCCCAGCAACACAGUGACUCUAAAUGGACAGAAUGUGCAGCCUGAAGACACUGCUGUGUAUUAUUGUGCCAGAGACCCACAGUAA
This is a non-coding RNA of Monopterus albus (swamp eel), 396 nucleotides long. The record is from the annotation of a RefSeq genome assembly. NCBI's taxonomy places the organism in Eukaryota, Metazoa, Chordata, Actinopteri, Synbranchiformes, Synbranchidae.